This 288-nucleotide long non-coding RNA is filed under the name Mytilus galloprovincialis (Mediterranean mussel). The record is from RNAcentral. Lineage: Eukaryota; Metazoa; Mollusca; Bivalvia; Mytilida; Mytilidae.
GUGAUAUCUUAUUAUUUUAUCGGUAAUUUGUAAAUUUUUCCUUUGAUGUGUACUCGCUGAUAAUGUCAGUAUCAGUGGACUGGCCGUGAUAUAAAAAUUAUUGGGUUAGUACGCAAAUGACAUGCGCGAAUGCAACGCGUAAGGAUCUACUUUCCCCCUUCAUUCACAAAAUUGCGCGUGAUUUUUAUCGCAGAAACGCACGAGAUUUUUGGCGAAUGAACCACUUGACAUUGAUUAUAACUUUCACAAAGUUAGUUUAGCCUUUUUUGUUGUGAAAAUGUGAACAGA